Molecule: long non-coding RNA, 752 nt
Organism: Diabrotica virgifera virgifera (western corn rootworm)
Lineage: Eukaryota; Metazoa; Arthropoda; Insecta; Coleoptera; Chrysomelidae
Exons: 2
Source: RefSeq, a predicted model, not a curated record
UUUACUUGAAACUGUCUUAGCAUUGUUUAGAAAAAACUAUUAAAAAAUUAUUUUUCAAACAAUGGUCUUAGUCUUCACUCUUAUUAAAUAACAUAAGUUCGUUCUCGUUGCGAGACGGUAUUGUGUGUAGUAAAGUCGCAUUGUUCGUUCCGUUCUGUAAUCGUUCGUAAAUAUAUUCAGAUUUUGUGUUUGUAAUGGCAAUAAAACUUAAAAUGUUGUUUUUGUUUCAAAAUGAUAACAAAAGACAGUUUGGACAAUCGGUGCAAAGAUAAGAAAGCUAAAAAUGAGACUCUCGACGACGCUUUGUAUGUGUGGAACGCGAACGUGGUUUACAAGUGUCUGUGUGCCAAUUAUAACGGAGUUUAUCUGUAAGCAUACCAUAUUUUAAUAAUUUUUACCAUUUUCUCCGGCUAACUCGAAUUUUCGAUAACCCGGAUCGGCCGCGGUCCCGAUUAAUCCGAGUUAACGGGGUUCCACUGUAUGUUCAAAACAUUUUUUAGAAAAAGAUAUUGACAGAACUUCACUUUCAACUGUUCGUUUGAGAGACUGUGCUGUUCCAAUAGCUUAUAUCACACAGAAUCAGCUGAGAGAAGUGGUCUACAAAAAACCAGGAAGGAAAUGGAAUAUGUGGCUAUGAAAGGCAAAAGAAAGGUUUACAAAGCAAAUGUGACACAUUUUUUUAUAGGAAUAUCAGUAAAUUACAUUAAAAAAAUGUAUGAAAAGAUUUUUUGCAAUAAAAAUGUUUAUAUUUA